Molecule: ribosomal RNA, 96 nt
Filed under: Klebsiella pneumoniae
Lineage: Bacteria; Pseudomonadati; Pseudomonadota; Gammaproteobacteria; Enterobacterales; Enterobacteriaceae
Also listed under: 1 other name
Description: partial 23S ribosomal RNA
Rfam family: Bacterial large subunit ribosomal RNA
Source: RNAcentral
AAGGAACGUUAAAGACGAUGACGUUGAUAGGCCGGGUGUGUAAGCGCAGCGAUGCGUUGAGCUAACCGGUACUAAUGAACCGUGAGGCUUAACCUU